UCCCGGUUGGCCCGGGCAGUCUCGUUUGAAAAAUUCAACAAACGAUAAGGGUUGCGCUCGUUGCGGGACUUAACCCAACAUCUCACGACACGAGCUGACGACGGCCAUGCAACACCUGUCACUGCGCUCCCGAAGGCACUCCCCUGUUUCCAGGGGAUUCGCAGGAUGUCAAGCCUCGGUAAGGUUCUUCGUGUAGCGUCGAAUUAAACCACAUGCUCCACUGCUUGUGCGGGUCCCCGUCAAUUCCUUUGAGUUUUAAGCUUGCGCUCGUACUCCCCAGGCGGCAGGCUUAUCGCGUUAGCUUCUCAGCCCAGAGGGUCGAUACUCCGAACUAAUAGCCUGCAUCGUUUACGGCGUGGACUAC
This 364-nucleotide unclassified non-coding RNA is filed under the name uncultured bacterium. RNAcentral describes it as "contains 16S-23S intergenic spacer region". The record is from RNAcentral.